RNAcentral lists this unclassified non-coding RNA (282 nucleotides) under fungal sp. RNAcentral's name for it is "partial internal transcribed spacer region". The stretch from base 1 to 46 matches the Rfam family "Eukaryotic small subunit ribosomal RNA", at positions 1786 to 1831 of the family's 1831-position model. Lineage: Eukaryota; Fungi. The record is from RNAcentral.
AAGUCGUAACAAGGUUUCCGUAGGUGAACCUGCGGAAGGAUCAUUAACACGUAUCCAAACGUAAAAAACCCCCCCCGUGAACAUUCAAUCCUGCUCUUGUAACCCGCGUAGUUCGCAAUCUCUGGUAAAUCAUAGCCCGGAAAGUAGUUUUGAUUCAGAGACCUCUGGCUACGUGAGAACAUCCCCAUGCCCCCUUAUAACCCCACAGUUUAAUGUGAAGCUCAAUGUAAUACAUUGGGUAAAAAAACCGAACAACUGUUAACAAUGGAUAUCUUGGUUCUC